AAAAAAAAUCGGAAUCAAUAAAAUGAUAUAUAGAAAAUUGACGUUUUGCCUUACUGAUGGCUAAUCCAAUAUAUGAGAGUGAAGAUCACAUUGGAUACACACAUGUCGCACAGACCGAAAUGGAAGAUACAAAAGCACAUAAGAGGGAUCAAGACUGCAAUAGAGAUUGUGUGGUAGCUGACAAGUAUGGAAAGAUGAAGCUGAGAGCAACAUGCUUCUAUGGAUACACCAGUUUCUUCUUAACAAAUUCCUUUUUUUCCUGUCUCCUUAUUUUCUGCUACACUUCACAACUAAGAAAAAAAAACCUGAAAGAAUUUUGCAAUAUGUUAGUACAAUUGGCAUCUAAAAUUUGCAAUCUAUAUUUUGAAUUAUCUUGUUGAAAACUUUAUGUUAAUUUUUUUUUAACUUUGCUUUUUAUCAGAGCCGAGCCCUUAUGUAAAAUCAAGGAAGUAUCUUUAAGCCUUUCAGUUCUCGUUCUUAGAAUCCCUUAUGUUGCAAAUAUUUUUAUGUACCUACCCAAUCUUCUAUUAAAUAAAUAAUUUAAUAAAAUUCAUAAUUUCAGUCUCUGACUAAAAAAGUUAGGGGGUUUCGGAAAAAUUGUAUCAUUUUUGCAAGACAUCCUUUUUGCAUGAUCAAAUGAUAAUCAUGAAUAGCUAUGGAGUAUAAAAAUUCAGAUUCAAGCUAAAAUACAUUCCCAAGAAAAUUCGUGAAAAAAACAACAAUUAAUUUGUUAUAAAGCUGCGCCCUAGUUCUUAAUAUAUGUGGAUUUAAAAAAAAGGAACAUGUCUAAAGUCACGUUUUAUGUAUUAAUAACUCAUAAUUAAGAAUGCGAUUCAUUUGUAGCAACAGUGAAAGAUUUAUAUAAAAGAUUUAUAAAUUAUCUAUAGACCUAACCUAUAUAUGUAUAACGCUGAAAAAUAAGCCAUAAAAAUUCCCUCUCUUGUACAAGGUGGUGAGCAAGCAAAGCAAUUUUAAAUAACAAGAAAAAAUGACAAAAAGAGAUGGAAAAUUUAUACUUUGCAAAAAAAAUACACCUGGAUUUUCAAUGAGACGUUGAGAUUGACUGCGAAAAACAUCCGCAAGAGAAUGCGAGAGGGAAAAGUCAAAAGCAUUUUUACCAUCUCAUAAUUGAUGGCUUGUAUGUGAUCUAUUGGUAUACUUCUCCCCACACAAUAUAUUUAUUAUGUAGGUAAUAUAUGUAUAUACGAAUUUCUAUAUAUAUAUUUUUUUAUAUGUAUCGUCUGUUUUCCCUGGGUGUGUACAAUAUAUGUACAAAACCUCUACAUUAUAUACAAUAUUUUGAAUUAAAAAAAAUUGGUUUAAA
Molecule: long non-coding RNA, 1324 nt
Organism: Lutzomyia longipalpis
Lineage: Eukaryota; Metazoa; Arthropoda; Insecta; Diptera; Psychodidae
Exons: 2
Source: RefSeq, a predicted model, not a curated record